CACACUUAGAGCAGACUUGGACUAAGUGCCAAACAACAGCUCAGUGGCAACUAUUUCAAAUCACUAAGAUUCAUCCAGAGACGCUAAAAAGCUUAGAAGCAGCAAGCCCUGAUUGUGGGUCGGUAAACGAGGGGGAAAGAGAGAGGAAAGCGUCUUAAAUGUAUGCUUUUGUCAUUGAAAUAAAAAAUCCACAAUUUUCAGCCAGUAUCUGAAUUAAUAAAGAAUCUUUAAAAAUAAUUUGUAUUUGAUUCUGUAACCUUUGAAAAAAUCUUUAAAGAAUAGCAGCAUUUCCCUGCUCUUACUACACAUGGAAUAUUCUCAGGCAUAAACCAUGUGAAGUGUCUCUAAGAUGGGAGAGGAGUCUUAGAAUAUUAGCUUUAUAGAAGUGGGAUCAGUAGGGUGUAGUCAGAAACUCACCAGUUCAAGAAUCAGAAGACCUUGCUAGGCAUCUGCCUCAAACACGAAUUAAGUCUAACUUGGGCAAGCUUUUUCAUCUCUAAGUCUCAAUUCCCUUAUCUGAGAAACGAGAAUACUAUUAUUUGCCUUGUCUUAGCUCAAAGUUGUUGUGUAGAUCAAAUUAGAUAAUGCCCGUGAAAGGGCUGUGAGGCUGGUAAAGCCUGCUGCAGAGAAGGUAGAAUCUUCUAACGUAGCUCUCCUCAGCAGAUAAGGUAAAGGAAGCCCACUGCGGUUAGGUGAGACCCACGUUUUAAUGGGUGGUGGGACCAGAAUUAGAACUUGGAUUUAUCACGGUCUGUAAAAGGAGAUUUUCAUGAUGAGGCUUUGCCUCGAAAGCUCAUGAGCUGAAAGUGGCCCCAUGUGUUCCUCUUCUUUUCUGAAUUCACCUGAUGAUUUUGUGCGAAGCCAGGAGGGAACCAUGACUCGCAGAAUGAGCCAAGACGUUCUGCCCGCUGACUCUGAGUCCAUCCUGUAUACUAAAAAUACUACUCUCCUCACGUCACAUAGAGUCUCUAGAGGUGUUGUCCCAGCGUAAAAAGACUGAAUCUGAUGGAACUGAGUGUGAUGAAGAUCAGGAAGCUUUUUGAAUUUUCGCCGUCCUGAAACAGGAACAGUUUGAAUUGAUGUGACAUAAGUUGGCUGACUGGAUGGACUGCAUCCUGGGCCCAUACUGCUUUUAUCUAGUUGCCUAAAAAUGAGACAGAAGAUUCUCUGUUCAUUUAAAAUGGAAAGAUACCAUGACUGGCGUCUCCAUGCAUGAAGUCUUCUCAAAGAAUGCCGCUGGUCGUGCGUCAAGAUGAGGAUGUAUUUCUAAUUAUUAGCACUCCACUUGCAUUAUGCUUAUCUUCCCCUAGCAUGCAAUCUCUCAUCAGUGUCACUGUCAGGUAAAUAUCAACCCACAUUUUAGAAAAGAAUAUCAAGUGAUUUGAAAGUCUCAGAGAAAAUCAUGGUAAGAGUUGGAACAUUGGAGCCAGCGCUGUGCUGGGGAAUGUCUAACCACUGGCUUUCCCUUCCCCAACACUAAGAAAACUCUGAUGUG
RNAcentral lists this long non-coding RNA (1495 nucleotides) under Equus asinus (donkey). RNAcentral's name for it is "lncRNA (ENSEASG00005029000.1)". Lineage: Eukaryota; Metazoa; Chordata; Mammalia; Perissodactyla; Equidae. The record is from RNAcentral.